GGGCGAAUAGCUCAGCUGGCUAGAGCGCCUGCCUUACAAGCAGGAGGUCACAGGUUCGACCCCUGUUUCGCCCA
RNAcentral lists this transfer RNA (74 nucleotides) under Candidatus Hinthialibacteria bacterium OLB16. Its description in RNAcentral is "Omnitrophica bacterium OLB16 tRNA-Val". It matches the Rfam family "tRNA". From Rfam's summary of the family: Transfer RNA (tRNA) molecules are approximately 80 nucleotides in length. The record is from RNAcentral. RNAcentral also lists the same sequence under 4 other names. Lineage: Bacteria; Candidatus Hinthialibacterota.